Molecule: ribosomal RNA, 377 nt
Filed under: uncultured Gammaproteobacteria bacterium
Lineage: Bacteria; Pseudomonadati; Pseudomonadota; Gammaproteobacteria
Description: bacterial SSU rRNA
Rfam family: Bacterial small subunit ribosomal RNA
Source: RNAcentral
UAAUACUGAGGGUGCAAGCGUUAAUCGGAAUUACUGGGCGUAAAGCGAGUGUAGGCGGCUUCGUAAGUCGGAUGUGAAAGCCCCGGGCUCAACCUGGGAAUUGCAUUCGAUACUGCGCGGCUAGAGUCUGAUAGAGGGAAGUGGAAUUCCAGGUGUAGCGGUGAAAUGCGUAGAGAUCUGGAGGAACACCAGUGGCGAAGGCGGCUUCCUGGAUCAAGACUGACGCUGAGGCUCGAAAGCGUGGGGAGCAAACAGGAUUAGAUACCCUGGUAGUCCACGCCCUAGACGAUGUCAACUAGACGUUGGUCCCAUUGAAGGGAUUAGUGUCGAAGCUAACGCGUUAAGUUGACCGCCUGGGGAGUACGGCCGCAAGGUUG